CAGCAGCCGCGGUAAUACGAAGGGUGCAAGCGUUACUCGGAAUUACUGGGCGUAAAGCGUGCGUAGGUGGUGGUUUAAGUCCGUUGUGAAAGCCCUGGGCUCAACCUGGGAAUUGCAGUGGAUACUGGGUCACUAGAGUGUGGUAGAGGAUGGUGGAAUUCCCGGUGUAGCAGUGAAAUGCGCAGAUAUGCGGAGGAACACCGAUGGCGAAGGCAGCCCCCUGGGCCAACACUGACGCUCAUGCACGAAAGCGUGGGGAGCAAACAGGAUUAGAUACCCGAGUAGUCCCUGUCUCUUAUAC
RNAcentral lists this ribosomal RNA (301 nucleotides) under uncultured bacterium. Its description in RNAcentral is "partial 16S ribosomal RNA". It matches the Rfam family "Bacterial small subunit ribosomal RNA", at positions 509 to 807 of the family's 1533-position model. The record is from RNAcentral.